GGAGGGUAUAGCUCAAGUGGUAGAGCGCAUGCUUAGCAUGCAUGAGGUCCUGGGUUCAAUUCCCAGUACCUCCU
This 74-nucleotide transfer RNA is filed under the name Vicugna pacos (alpaca). RNAcentral's name for it is "tRNA-Ala (AGC) (tRNA-Ala-AGC-659-1)". It matches the Rfam family "tRNA". From Rfam's summary of the family: Transfer RNA (tRNA) molecules are approximately 80 nucleotides in length. Their secondary structure includes four short double-helical elements and three loops (D, anti-codon, and T loops). Further hydrogen bonds mediate the characteristic L-shaped molecular structure. tRNAs have two regions of fundamental functional importance: the anti-codon, which is responsible for specific mRNA codon recognition, and the 3' end, to which the tRNAs corresponding amino acid is attached (by aminoacyl-tRNA synthetases). tRNAs cope with the degeneracy of the genetic code in two manners: having more than one tRNA (with a specific anti-codon) for a particular amino acid; and 'wobble' base-pairing, i.e. permitting non-standard base-pairing at the 3rd anti-codon position. Lineage: Eukaryota; Metazoa; Chordata; Mammalia; Artiodactyla; Camelidae. The record is from RNAcentral.